UUACAGUAUUUGCAUAUAACGAAAAUCAGAUACUUGAAAUAGGGAAAAAAAUUUCAAGCAAAUACGUAGAUUAUAUGGAAGGAAAAGUCGUUAAAAACAGACAAGAAUUUAAUUUCUGUGCAGAAAAAAUGGAAUCGUACAUGCAAUUUUUUAAAGAAAUUUUAGUGUAACAAUUUUAUUAUAAAUAUAAAUAUGUUACCUAUAUAUAUAUAUUAUAAUACGAACUCUACCGUAUGUACGACUAACUGCUGACCUAUACAUAUUAGAAAACACACAUAAUUGUAACGGCUAUGACAACACACACAAUGUAUUAGUAAGUCAGUUCAUUGUGCACCUUUCAACUUCAUCAAACAAUACAAUUACUGGACUCCGUAGGACUACGAUACAGUCAUAUAGUAUAAUAGAACUCUAGUUGAUAUAUUAGUGAGUAUUAGUAUUUGUAAUUGAUUAAUAAAUAAUAAACCAUAAUUAUAACUGAAAUA
Molecule: long non-coding RNA, 482 nt
Organism: Acyrthosiphon pisum (pea aphid)
Lineage: Eukaryota; Metazoa; Arthropoda; Insecta; Hemiptera; Aphididae
Exons: 6
Source: RefSeq, a predicted model, not a curated record